CCUACGGGAGGCUGCAGUGGGGAAUAUUGGACAAUGGGGGCAACCCUGAUCCAGCCAUGCCGCGUGUGUGAAGAAGGCCCUCGGGUUGUAAAGCACUUUCAGUGAGGAAGAACGCCUGGUGGUUAAUACCCAUCAGGAAAGACAUCACUCACAGAAGAAGCACCGGCUAACUCCGUGCCAGCAGCCGCGGUAAUACGGAGGGUGCGAGCGUUAAUCGGAAUUACUGGGCGUAAAGCGCGCGUAGGUGGCUUGAUAAGCCGGUUGUGAAAGCCCCGGGCUCAACCUGGGAACGGCAUCCGGAACUGUCAAGCUAGAGUGCAGGAGAGGAAGGUAGAAUUCCCGGUGUAGCGGUGAAAUGCGUAGAGAUCGGGAGGAAUACCAGUGGCGAAGGCGGCCUUCUGGACUGACACUGACACUGAGGUGCGAAAGCGUGGGUAGCAAACAGGAUUAGAUCCCUGGUAGUC
This 464-nucleotide ribosomal RNA is filed under the name Vreelandella stevensii. RNAcentral describes it as "partial 16S ribosomal RNA". It matches the Rfam family "Bacterial small subunit ribosomal RNA", at positions 338 to 795 of the family's 1533-position model. The record is from RNAcentral. Lineage: Bacteria; Pseudomonadati; Pseudomonadota; Gammaproteobacteria; Oceanospirillales; Halomonadaceae.